RNAcentral lists this ribosomal RNA (402 nucleotides) under uncultured Leptolinea sp. RNAcentral describes it as "bacterial SSU rRNA". It matches the Rfam family "Bacterial small subunit ribosomal RNA", at positions 966 to 1382 of the family's 1533-position model. Lineage: Bacteria; Bacillati; Chloroflexota; Anaerolineae; Anaerolineales; Anaerolineaceae. The record is from RNAcentral.
GAACCUUACCAGGGUUUGACAUGCAAGUGGUAGGAAUCCGAAAGGUGACCGACCCUUCGGGGAGCUUGCACAGGUGCUGCAUGGCUGUCGUCAGCUCGUGUCGUGAGAUGUUCGGUUAAGUCCGCUAACGAGCGCAACCCUCGUCGUGUGUUAUACGUGUCACACGAUGCUGCCGGUAUCAAGCCGGAGGAAGGUGGGAUGAUGUCAAGUCAGCAUGGCCUUUAUAUCCUGGGCUACACACACGCUACAAUGGCAGAUACAAUAGGUUGCGAAACCGCGAGGUGGAGCCAAUCCUCAAAGUCUGUCUCAGUUCAGAUUGUAGGCUGCAACUCGCCUGCAUGAAGUUGGAGUUGCUAGUAAACGCAGGUCAGCUAUACUGCGUUGAAUACGUUCCCGGGGUUU